This 631-nucleotide long non-coding RNA is filed under the name Ananas comosus (pineapple). RNAcentral describes it as "long non-coding RNA (ACOM_LNC030171)". Lineage: Eukaryota; Viridiplantae; Streptophyta; Magnoliopsida; Poales; Bromeliaceae. The record is from RNAcentral.
AAAUCAGAUUGAAUAGACCGGUUCGACUGAUCUGAUCAUGACUCAGUUUAUAAAUCAAUUUGUUUAACAAUUUGAACUUGAUGAAUUAAACAUCCAUUUUUAACCAUUCAGACUAGUGGUUCAACCAUCAAACUGGUGAACCAGAUCAGUUUUAAUCAAACCGGCUGAAAUUUUUUGGAUCAAGUUAUAAUAUAAUCCACCGGCUUAAAAUCAACUUACCUAUAUUAUUUUCUAUUAGCAUAGACAAAAUUUUGUAAAAAAUAAAAAUUUGUAUAUACUUUAUUUGUGAAAAUAAGUAUUUUACAGUUAAGUAUGAUAUUAAAAUAAUAAUAUAUAUUUUUAUAAAAUAAAAUUAAAAAUAAUAAUUAAAUAUUUAUGACGUCAUACUGAUAUAUCACUAGUUUAGCUAAUAGUUAAUCCAUUGACAGACGUGCAAUCUCUACUCGUACCCGUAAGUACCUGCGAGUUACUCACAAAUUUGCGGGUAUAGAUACUAGUUUUUCUUACUAAAAAAUUAUUGGUAAAACAGAUGGAUAUUUGUUAAGUUAUGGACAUUUUGAACAACUUCCAAAUACCCAUGAGUACCCACAUAUAUUUUUUAAAUUUAAAAUAUAUUAAUUUUUAAUAUUGA